Molecule: unclassified non-coding RNA, 1630 nt
Filed under: Hevea brasiliensis (rubber tree)
Lineage: Eukaryota; Viridiplantae; Streptophyta; Magnoliopsida; Malpighiales; Euphorbiaceae
Source: RNAcentral
GCCAGUUUCCCUUUCAGUUUCUCGCUCUGUCCGCUGCAAGUGCAAGUUUUUAAUGGUUGCGUGAAAAAGAAGUUUGGUAUAUUGGUGUUUUUUGGAUAUUACUCUGUUUUCCUCGAAAUGGGCAAGAAAGAACAGCAACAGCAGAGAGAUCACAAAAACAAACAGAGAGUUGAAGCUGUUCUCGAGCUUCUAAGAAAACAAUCUCCACUCACAGUGAAACAGGAGAAGUUCUGCAACAAUGCUUGCGUAGAACGGUUUCUGAAAGCAAAAGGUGAUAAUGUGAAGAAGGCUGCUAAGCACUUGAGGGCUUGCCUUUCUUGGAGAGAGAGUAUAGGCACUGAGCAACUAAUAGCAGACGAGUUCUCAGCUGAGCUCGCUGAAGGAGUUGCCUAUGUGGCUGGCCAUGAUGAAGAAUCCAGACCUGUUGUGAUAUUUCGCAUUAAGCAAGAUUACCAAAAAUUCCAUUCACAGAAACUGUUUACUAGGCUGCUGGUUUUUACACUUGAGGUGGCCAUAGGAUCAAUGGCAAAAAACGUUGAACAAUUUGUACUCCUCUUCGACGCAAGCUUUUUCAGAUCAGCAUCGUCUUUUAUGAACUUGUUACUGGCAACAAUGAAAAUUGUGGCUGAGUACUAUCCAUGCAGGCUUUACAAGGCUUUCAUAAUAGACCCGCCUUCCCUCUUUUCUUAUCUAUGGAAGGGUGUCCGUCCAUUUGUUGAGCUAUCAACGGUCGUUAUGGUGGUUUCAUCGCUGGACUUCGAAGAGUCAUUAGAGUACAGUGACUUCUCCAUCUACCCACGAGCCUCAUCCCUCCGAUUUGAUCCUUCGUCUAUCAAGUCAACGGCCAAGAUUGGUUCAUGCUCUUCGUCAAGAUUUUCCUUCACUGUAUCUCAUAGUUUUGACUCCCUCAAACCUUGGCACCUAACCUUGACGGACAUGUCAGCAUCCAAACUAGGACCCACUACUACCAGCUCUUCUACUAUGGGCCCAGCUUUGGUCUCCCCGGUUAACGCCAGGUCUGUCUCCUUUGCAUCACCGGUUGCUAGAACGCCGCUCAAGAACAGAAUAAACGUUGGAAGCUAUGGCAGCGGCAGGGGCAAGUUGUUCUCAUCAACACCACUACCACAGCGAGUCACCGCAAGUGAGCCUAUCAAAAUUUCUCAUCCGCGGACCCCACGUCCAUCGUUCCUCCAGUCACCGGCCUUGUUUUUCAAGAAGGAGUGCCACAUCAACAGGACUGACAAGUCUCGGGAGUCGUUCUCACCCUUUUUGAAGCUCUAUAGGCGGCCGUACGAUGAGAUGAUGUACAGGUCAAAGAUGCGGCCCCCACUUGGUGGCCUGGUUUCCAUUGUCUCUUCUCACCUUAAACACCGCCACAUGUCCGUAUCGCAACGGUUCUAAACGAAGAGUUUGUAAGCCACAUGCAAACAGACAAACCAGAAAACAGAGAGAAAGAGAGUACACAAGAGUGUUUAGUAUAUUUUAGUAUUACAUUGACCAAAGAGUCAAAUGUUGUCAAAUGUCAAUGGCAAUGACACAAGAACUAAUAAUUGAUUAAUUAUUUCUUGAAAUUAUGCUUAAUUAAAUAUAUGGUGGUGCAUUGAUUGACCAAAGCAAUUAAGAAGAGACU